RNAcentral lists this long non-coding RNA (325 nucleotides) under Mytilus galloprovincialis (Mediterranean mussel). Lineage: Eukaryota; Metazoa; Mollusca; Bivalvia; Mytilida; Mytilidae. The record is from RNAcentral.
CUCAAACAACAAAUAUAAACAUUGGUGUUUUCUUAACUUCAAUGUGCUCAUUCGUCUAUAAUAAGCAUAACUCCAGCAUUCAAGAUAACUAUGAUAUAUUUAUAACACAUACACUAUUAACAUUAGAAAUUUUGCCACCUUGGCAAUGGAAAAGCGCAAAUCCCGUCCAUCUGUCCGUCCGUUUGAGAGACACCAGAGAUGACCCCUUACAUACUUUCGUCACAAAUCAGGAUACAAGUAGUCCACAGAAAGAAAUUGACUCAACGUAGGUCGCUUUAGGAUACUUGAUACAAUGUAGCGUUACGGAAAGUUCUUUUUAGACACU